Molecule: transfer RNA, 72 nt
Filed under: Myotis brandtii (Brandt's bat)
Lineage: Eukaryota; Metazoa; Chordata; Mammalia; Chiroptera; Vespertilionidae
Rfam family: tRNA
About the family: Transfer RNA (tRNA) molecules are approximately 80 nucleotides in length. Their secondary structure includes four short double-helical elements and three loops (D, anti-codon, and T loops). Further hydrogen bonds mediate the characteristic L-shaped molecular structure. tRNAs have two regions of fundamental functional importance: the anti-codon, which is responsible for specific mRNA codon recognition, and the 3' end, to which the tRNAs corresponding amino acid is attached (by aminoacyl-tRNA synthetases). tRNAs cope with the degeneracy of the genetic code in two manners: having more than one tRNA (with a specific anti-codon) for a particular amino acid; and 'wobble' base-pairing, i.e. permitting non-standard base-pairing at the 3rd anti-codon position.
Source: Rfam by way of RNAcentral
GCCCAUUUGGCUCAGUGGAUAGAGCAUCAGCCUGUGCACUGAAGGGUCCUGGUUCAAUUCCUGUCAAGGGUA